GAUGAACGCUGGCGGCGUGCCUAAUACAUGCAAGUCGAGCGAACGGACGAGAAGCUUGCUUCUCUGAUGUUAGCGGCGGACGGGUGAGUAACACGUGGAUAACCUACCUAUAAGACUGGGAUAACUUCGGGAAACCGGAGCUAAUACCGGAUAAUAUUUUGAACCGCAUGGUUCAAAAGUGAAAGACGGUCUUGCUGUCACUUAUAGAUGGAUCCGCGCUGCAUUAGCUAGUUGGUAAGGUAACGGCUUACCAAGGCAACGAUGCAUAGCCGACCUGAGAGGGUGAGCGGCCACACUGGAACUGAGACACGGUCCAGACUCCUACGGGAGGGAGCAGUAGGGAAUCUUCCGCAAUGGGCGAAAGCCUGACGGAGCAACGCCGCGUGAGUGAUGAAGGUCUUCGGAUCGUAAAACUCUGUUAUUAGGGAAGAACAUAUGUGUAAGUAACUGUGCACAUCUUGACGGUACCUAAUCAGAAAGCCACGGCUAACUACGUG
RNAcentral lists this ribosomal RNA (497 nucleotides) under uncultured bacterium. RNAcentral's name for it is "partial 16S ribosomal RNA". It matches the Rfam family "Bacterial small subunit ribosomal RNA", at positions 28 to 507 of the family's 1533-position model. The record is from RNAcentral.